UGGGGAAUUUUGGACAAUGGGCGAAAGCCUGAUCCAGCAAUGCCGCGUGUGUGAAGAAGGCCUUCGGGUUGUAAAGCACUUUUGUCCGGAAAGAAAUCCUUGGCUCUAAUACAGUCGGGGGAUGACGGUACCGGAAGAAUAAGCACCGGCUAACUACGUGCCAGCAGUCGCGGUAAUACGUAGGGUGCAAGCGUUAAUCGGAAUUACUGGGCGUAAAGCGUGCGCAGGCGGUUUGCUAAGACCGAUGUGAAAUCCCCGGGCUCAACCUGGGAACUGCAUUGGUGACUGGCAGGCUAGAGUAUGGCAGAGGGGGGUAGAAUUCCACGUGUAGCAGUGAAAUGCGUAGAGAUGUGGAGGAAUACCGAUGGCGAAGGCAGCCCCCUGGGCCAAUACUGACGCUCAUGCACGAAAGCGUGGGGAGCAAACAGGAUUAGAUACCCUGGUAGUCCACGCCCUAAACGAUGUCAACUAGUUGUUGGGGAUUCAUUUCCUUAGUAACGUAGCUAACGCGUGAAGUUGACCGCCUGGGGAGUACGGUCGCAAGAUUAAAACUCAAAUGAAUUGACGGGGUCAUAGCUGUUUCCU
Molecule: ribosomal RNA, 585 nt
Filed under: uncultured bacterium
Lineage: Bacteria
Description: partial 16S ribosomal RNA
Rfam family: Bacterial small subunit ribosomal RNA
Source: RNAcentral